RNAcentral lists this transfer RNA (70 nucleotides) under Cipangopaludina longispira. Its description in RNAcentral is "tRNA-Ile". The record is from RNAcentral. Lineage: Eukaryota; Metazoa; Mollusca; Gastropoda; Architaenioglossa; Viviparidae.
AGCAUUGCGCCGGAUGAACGGAAAUCGUUGAUGUUGAUUAUUAUAAGGAUUGUGAGAUUCUUUGAUGCUA